GCCCUUAUUUGAUUAAAUGAUAUAUUGUUGUGUGACGAUAGAGUAAUGCUAUAUAUGGAGAUUCAAUUUGUAGGUAAAUUUGUAAACCAAAUGAUGUGUCACCAAUAGAAAAUGAGUAUGUUUAUUAACGGUUAAGUAACAAUCCAAUUAUUAACUUUCAUGUCAUUUAGUUUAUAAAAUUUUAACUACAAAUUUAGUCUCCUUGACAUUAUUUGUUACAAUAUUACCAUGUGGCAUGUCAAUUGAGAAAAAGUGAUGAGUUGUAGGAAUGUUUCAUGAAAGGUGAUGUAUAAGGACCACCAAGAGGUGCACUGCCGGUGUACACGCGGUUGUGCAAGUUUUUACAUGCUUGAUGGUUCGGUAUGAUGUACAACACGCAAGCAAUUACGACUCAUUGACCAACACUGGCACAAUUGAAUUCUGUUAUUUCCUUUCUUAUGGGUUGGUUUUUCUACAUUCGAAUUUUGAAAUGGACUUUUCCAUCAAAGUUUGCUUCCUGUGCAGCUUGCCAGUCAAUCUUCCACUGCCUAUAAAUCUACAACUGCCUUACCCUUUGCCUCACACCUCAUUACUUAAAAAAAUAAGCACUACUGUCGUUCCAGACUUCCAGUAGUAUUAUCAUUCCCUCUAGCUAUAUAGUUUGUGUGUGUUCUUUGGAACAAAGAAAAUGGCCUCAUCUGCAAGUGAGAAUCGCUUACUGUUAUCCAAGAUUGCAACCAAUGAAAAACAUGGUGAGGACUCGCCAUACUUCGACGGAUGGAAGGCGUACGAUCAAAAACCAUUUCACCCAACUGAAAAUCCUGAGGUGUUAUCCAGAUGGAUCUGGCAGAAAAUCAGCUUUCCUUCGACUUGGUUGAAGAGUGGAUUAAGAAAAAUCCCAAAGCCUCUAUUUGCACUGCUGAAGGAAUUGAGAAGUUCAGAAACGUGGCCAAUUUUCAAGACUACCAUGGCUUACCAGAGUUCAAACAGCAAGGUGUGGUAGAGUCACAUUUGAUCCUCAUCGCGUAGUUAUGAGUGGCGGAGGAGCCACCGGAGCAAAUGAGCUGGUCAUGUUCUGUUUGGCCGACCCCGGAGAUGUUUUCCUUAUCCCCUCACCGUAAUAUCUAGCAUUUUACCGAGACCUCAGAUGGAGAACUGGAGUCCAAAUUGUCCCGGUCGAUUGUGAUAGCUCCAACAAUUUCAAAAUAACCAAAGGAGCACUGGAAGCAGCUUAUGAAAAAGCCCAAUACAACAGAGUCACGGUUGAGGCUUGUAGCUCAAGUGGUAGUGAAUAUUUGUCCGACUUCAAGGCGAGUGUUCGAAUCCCUCACCCCCUUAACCACCUUAUGCCUGAAAAAAACUAAAACGGGAAGAAAAAGAAUAAUGUAGUCCAAACCUGAUUUUCUGCCAGAUUCAUCUGGAUAACACCUUCAGGAUUUUCAGUUGGGUGAAAUGGGUUUUGAUCGUGUGCCUUCCAUCCGUCGAAGUACGGCGAGUCCUCACCAUGUUUUUCAUUGGUUGCAAUCUUGGAUAACAGUAAGCGAUUCUCACUUGCAGAUGAGGCCAUUUUCUUGGUUCCAAAGAACACACACAAGCUAUAUAGCUAGAAGGAAUGAUAAUACUACUGGAAGUCUGGAACGACAGUAGUGCUUAUUUUUUUAAGCAAUGAAGUGUGAGGCAAAGGGUAAGGCAGUUGUGGAUUUAUAGGCGGUGGAAGAUUGAUUGGCAAGCUGCACAGGAAGCAAAAUUUGAUGGAAAAGUCCAUUUCAAAAUUCAAAUGUAGAAAAACCGACCCAUAAGAAAGGAAAUAACAUAAUUUAAUUGUGGUAGUGUUGGUCAA
Pyrus x bretschneideri (Chinese white pear) is the source of this 1819-nucleotide RNA transcript. It is a transcript of the gene named 1-aminocyclopropane-1-carboxylate synthase 1, with no coding region annotated. The transcript has 4 exons. The record is from RefSeq and is a predicted model, not a curated record. NCBI's taxonomy places the organism in Eukaryota, Viridiplantae, Streptophyta, Magnoliopsida, Rosales, Rosaceae.